This 431-nucleotide unclassified non-coding RNA is filed under the name Hevea brasiliensis (rubber tree). Lineage: Eukaryota; Viridiplantae; Streptophyta; Magnoliopsida; Malpighiales; Euphorbiaceae. The record is from RNAcentral.
AAGGAAGCAUGGAACAAGUUCAAUUCUGAGGAGCUAUUUUAAUUCCUGUGGUGAUAUUUUGCUCCAAACUACUUGAUUAGGCAAUCACACUAUUUAGUGGGGGUGGAAAUGCGCAAUUGUUCCAGUAGAUGUAUUCUUGUAUCUGCUGUAAUUGGUGUUGCAUCAUAUCACUGAUAAAAACGCCAACAGGGGACUUAUCAUUUGUAGCUAUUGAGAUACCGGAAGGUUGAAGUAGUCUCGCAUAAUUCAGGUGGCUGUAAAGGUACUUUCCUCCAGCACAGGGCGCCUGAAGGCUGGAAUUACUUCUCCAUGUAGAGUAUCGUUCUGCAUACCCCUAUGGCAUAUUAGAUGGGGGGUGGGAAGGUUUUUUUCCUUUUUUUUUUGUUAAUUCUUUUCUAUAGUUAUAUAUAUUUUUUUCCCUUGUGGGUUUU